GCCUAACCCCGAUUGCAGCGGAAAGCAUUUUGAAAUAAAAAAAUUACAUUUCCUGAAAUAAAAAAGCGACCGCAAGGAAGCUCUUUUUGUUUUAUUGGAAAUGUUUUUUUAUAAGAAAUCCUGAAGCGAAAAGCGGGAACAUGU
This 144-nucleotide unclassified non-coding RNA is filed under the name Flavobacterium noncentrifugens. Its description in RNAcentral is "Flavo-1 RNA". The record is from RNAcentral. Lineage: Bacteria; Pseudomonadati; Bacteroidota; Flavobacteriia; Flavobacteriales; Flavobacteriaceae.